GACGAACGCUGGCGGCGUGCCUAAUACAUGCAAGUCGAACGCAGUGGGGACGGGUUAGUAACACGUGGGUAACCUCCCAUCAGAGGGGAUAACCCUUGGCUACAGGUGCUAAACCGAUAUUGAUUGAUGUACCCGCGGUGCAUUAGCCAGUUGGUGGGGUAAAGGCUCACCAAGGCCACGAUGCAUAGCUGGCCUGAGAGGGUGAUCGGCCACACUGGGACUGAGACACGGCCCAGACUCCUACGGGAGGCAGCAGUGGGGAAUAUUGCACAAUGGGCGCAAGCCUGAUGCAGCCAUGCCGCGUGUAUGAAGAAGGCCUUAGGGUUGUAAAGUACUUUCAGCGGGGAGGCGUUACCCGCAGAAGAAGCACCGGCUAACUCCGUGCCAGCAGCCGCGGUAAUAC
Molecule: ribosomal RNA, 403 nt
Filed under: uncultured bacterium
Lineage: Bacteria
Description: partial 16S ribosomal RNA
Rfam family: Bacterial small subunit ribosomal RNA
Source: RNAcentral